RNAcentral lists this ribosomal RNA (253 nucleotides) under uncultured bacterium. Its description in RNAcentral is "partial 16S ribosomal RNA". It matches the Rfam family "Bacterial small subunit ribosomal RNA", at positions 524 to 776 of the family's 1533-position model. The record is from RNAcentral.
GACGGAGGAUGCAAGCGUUAUCCGGAAUUAUUGGGCGUAAAGCGUGCGCAGGCGGUUUUUCAAGUCUGAUGUGAAAGCCCCGGGCUUAACCUGGGAACUGCGUUGGAAACUGAAAGACUAGAGUGCGGCAGAGGGGGGUAGAAUUCCACGUGUAGCAGUGAAAUGCGUAGAUAUGUAGAGGAAUACCGAUGGCGAAGGCAGCCCCCUGGGUCGACACUGACGCUCAUGCACGAAAGCGUGGGUAGCAAACAGG